GGCUGGGCACUCUAGAGGAACCGCCGGUGAUAAGCCGGAGGAAGGUGGGAUGACGUCAAGUCCUCAUGGCCCUUACGUGGUGGGCUACACACGUGCUACAAUGGCAGUGACAAUGGGUUAAUCCCAAAAAGCUGUCUCAGUUCGGAUUGUCGGCUGCAACUCGCCGGCAUGAAGUUGGAAUUGCUAGUAAUCGCGUAACAGCAUGACGCGGUGAAUACGUUCCCGGGCCUUGUACACACCGCCCGUCACACCAUGGGAGUUGGUUCUACCCGAAGGCCGUGCGCUAACUUUUGAGGCAGCGGACCACGGUAGGAUCAGCGACUGGGGUGAAGUCGUAACAAGGUAACC
This 348-nucleotide ribosomal RNA is filed under the name uncultured alpha proteobacterium DCM-FREE-17. RNAcentral's name for it is "bacterial SSU rRNA". It matches the Rfam family "Bacterial small subunit ribosomal RNA", at positions 1129 to 1501 of the family's 1533-position model. The record is from RNAcentral. Lineage: Bacteria; Pseudomonadati; Pseudomonadota; Alphaproteobacteria.